RNAcentral lists this ribosomal RNA (253 nucleotides) under uncultured bacterium. RNAcentral's name for it is "partial 16S ribosomal RNA". It matches the Rfam family "Bacterial small subunit ribosomal RNA", at positions 524 to 776 of the family's 1533-position model. The record is from RNAcentral.
GACGGGGGGUCCUAGCGUUGUUCGGAAUCAUUGGGCGUAAAGCGUGUGCAGGUGGUUUGGUAAGUUGGAUGUGAAAGCCCCGAGCUUAACUCGGGAAGUGCAUUCAAAACUACCAAACUUGAGUAUGGAAGAGGGUCGUGGAAUUCCAGGUGUAGUGGUGAAAUACGUAGAUAUCUGGAGGAACACCGGCGGCGAAGGCGGCGACCUGGUCCUAUACUGACACUCAUACACGAAAGCGUGGGGAUCAAACAGG